RNAcentral lists this ribosomal RNA (468 nucleotides) under uncultured bacterium. Its description in RNAcentral is "partial 16S ribosomal RNA". It matches the Rfam family "Bacterial small subunit ribosomal RNA", at positions 28 to 507 of the family's 1533-position model. The record is from RNAcentral.
GACGAACGCUGGCGGCGUGCUUAACACAUGCAAGUCGAACGGAAAGGCCCUGCUUUUGUGGGGUGCUCGAGUGGCGAACGGGUGAGUAACACGUGAGUAACCUGCCCUUGACUUUGGGAUAACUUCAGGAAACUGGGGCUAAUACCGGAUAGGAGCUCCUGCUGCAUGGUGGGGGUUGGAAAGUUUCGACGGUUGGGGAUGGACUCGCGGCUUAUCAGCUUGUUGGUGGGGUAGUGGCUUACCAAGGCUUUGACGGGUAGCCGGCCUGAGAGGGUGACCGGCCACAUUGGGACUGAGAUACGGCCCAGACUCCUACGGGAGGCAGCAGUGGGGAAUAUUGCACAAUGGGCGGAAGCCUGAUGCAGCAACGCCGCGUGCGGGAUGACGGCCUUCGGGUUGUAAACCGCUUUCGCCUGUGACGAAGCGUGAGUGACGGUAAUGGGUAAAGAAGCACCGGCUAACUACGUG